RNAcentral lists this ribosomal RNA (300 nucleotides) under Triticum aestivum (bread wheat). RNAcentral's name for it is "partial small subunit ribosomal RNA". The record is from RNAcentral. Lineage: Eukaryota; Viridiplantae; Streptophyta; Magnoliopsida; Poales; Poaceae.
AUGAGUAAACGGAAAUUGGGGAAGAGGCAGAAAUCUCAUGAAACGCACUUCAAAUCCGGCUGGGCGGCUGGCUGCAUGCCGUCUGCAGCUGCACAGCGCCGGGCGUCGACUGCCGAGUACGGUCUGGGCGGCUGCGGGCUGCUGGCUGGGCGCGAUGGUGCAGGGAAGGGGCGGGUAGAGUCGACGGCGAUGCACGGAAUCAGGCGGAAAGAUCGGCAGGAGCGCAGGGCAGUCGCGAGCGAAAUCGGGGACGGGAGGCAGUGCGCAGUGGCUGUCCUGGCGGCUACCGCGGCUGUGUGA